Molecule: non-coding RNA, 2147 nt
Organism: Nicotiana tabacum (common tobacco)
Lineage: Eukaryota; Viridiplantae; Streptophyta; Magnoliopsida; Solanales; Solanaceae
Source: RefSeq, a predicted model, not a curated record
UAGUUUUGCUUUUAUUUUCAGCAAAAGCAAGAGACAGAAUAGCACGGAAGCGCAGCUAGACUUUUACUCCGAGCAUUCUUGUUUGCAUAUUACUCUUAGCAUUGAAGAGCUUUCAGAAAUGGAUAUUGGCUUAGCAGUUGGAGGUGCAUUUCUCUCUUCAGCUUUGAAUGUUCUCUUUGAUAGGCUUGCUCCUCAGGGUGAGUUGCUCAAGAUGUUCCAAAGGGGCAAGCAUGAUGUUGGACUGCUAAAGAGGUUGAAGAUGAUUUUGCUUGGUCUUCAAGCUGUGCUAAGUGAUGCAGAGAAUAAGCAGACAUCUAAUCCAUACGUGAGAGAGUGGCUUAAUGAACUUCGGGAUGCUGUGGACAGUGCUGAAAACUUAAUAGAAGAAGUCAAUUAUGAAGUUGUGAGAGUUAAGGUGGAAGGUCAGAAUCAAAAUCUUGCAGAAACAAGCAACCAGCAAGUAAGUGACCUCAACUUGUGCUUGAGUGAUGAAUUUUUCCUUAACAUAAAGGAGAAGUUGGAGGGCACCACUAAAAUAUUGGAGGAGUUGGAAAAGCAGAUUUGUAGGCUUGGCCUAAAGGACUAUCUUGUUUCUGGUAAACAAGAAACAAGAGGACCUUCAACUUCUUUGGUUGAUGAAUCUGAUAUCUUUGGUAGGCAGAAUGAAAUAGAGAUUUUGGUUGACCGUUUAUUGUCUGUUGAUGCCGAUGGAAAAACGUAUAGUGUAAUUCCUAUUGUUGGAAUGGCGGGGAUUGGCAAGACAACACUUGCUAAAGCUGUUUACAAUAACGAGAAGGUGAAAGACCAUUUUGAUUUGAAAGCUUGGUUUUGUGUGUCUGAACAAUAUGAUGCUUCUAGAAUAACAAAAGGAUUACUUCAAGAAAUUGAUUCAUCCAACUUGAUGGUUGAUAACAAUCUUAAUCAGCUUCAAAUCAAAUUGAAGGAUAGCUUAAAAGUGUGUAGCGUCUAUUUGCACAGUGAAGCCGAGGAAGCAUCUUUGCUCGAAAUGAAAUUUAAGUAAGUUGAUGAAGGAGGAGGUGGUUUAGAGUAAUGCACAAGUCCACUAUUGAAUGCGAAGCUCUAAUAGAAUUCAAAGGUAUACACGACACAAAAUUUGUCUCCUAUCUAUUAAAAAUAGAAAAUGAAAGUUGGUUCUCCUAAGCUUGGAGUUCUUUUUGAUAACUGCUUAUGUCCCAAGAGAAUUUGUCACAAAAUUCGUCUCCUAAGAGAAUUAAGUUUUAUCACUGCUGGAAGAAGGGCUUCCCUCGUCUCUUUCUGAGCUCCAUCGGCUACCAACAGUAGAUCUUAGGUGCCUUACAGUUUGAGUUUCACAUUAAAGGCUUGUUUCUCAGUUUGACUAAAUGAGGGGAAAAGACUACGUCCUCUUUGAGUAUUUAUUCUCUGAUGAUUUGCCAAGUUUUUUAGACUAGAUCUUGUUGCUCUGUAUGGGAAGGAAAAGCCGGGAAGAGAGUUAUUCAAGGUUCAUUCUUAUGUGAAGUUCCCCUCUCAAUUUCAUGGACACAUGGUGAGGAUCCGACAGUGGCGCUCUGACAUAUGUAAUUUUCAAGGCUUCUCUUGGCUUGUUUAUUAAUUGCUUGUCUUUUCUAAUAUUCUAGACUACUAUGCAUCAUUUAUUUCUGUUGCAAAAACUAUUAGUCCCUUCAUUCCUUCUCUUAGGAAAACUGCUUUAUCCCUGUAGAAAAACUGCUUGAAGAGAUUUUGCAAAUAAUCUUGUUCUUUUUAGUAGUAAUCGAUCUAUUGAUUUUCACUGAUCCAAAAUAAAAGUAAUAUCAUGAUUUUCAAAUUCCUUGUUACUUCUGCUUUUUGAUAGUCAACACUAAUGCAAUUUAUCAGCAAUUGGCAGUGUAGUUGAAAGGAUGAGCAGGAAGUCAGAUUGUCUACAUUAAUAGAUGCUGGAGUGGAAGCAGUGGCACGUACUAGGGAAUGGAAAGUUUCCUAUACUUCAGAAUCUUUUAAUUAAAAUUUGCCCCAAGUUGAUUGGGAGGUUUCCUGAAAAUCUUUGUUCUCUGACAAUAUUGACAAUUUCAAAUUGUCCGGAACUCAAUCUGGAGACACCUAUCCAACUUUCAAGUCUAAAACAGUUUGAAGUUGAAGGUUCUCCUAAGGUUGGAGUUCUUUUUUAUCAU